RNAcentral lists this transfer RNA (69 nucleotides) under Mycopsylla gardenensis. RNAcentral describes it as "tRNA-Arg". The record is from RNAcentral. Lineage: Eukaryota; Metazoa; Arthropoda; Insecta; Hemiptera; Carsidaridae.
CCAAUGAAGUAAAAAAAUUAUUACAUUUAGUUUCGACCUAAACCAAUGAGACUAAAUCUCCAUUGAGAA